Molecule: ribosomal RNA, 436 nt
Filed under: uncultured bacterium
Lineage: Bacteria
Description: bacterial SSU rRNA
Rfam family: Bacterial small subunit ribosomal RNA
Source: RNAcentral
AGAGUUUGAUCCUGGCUCAGAUUGAACGCUGGCGGUAUGCUUAACACAUGCAAGUCGAACGGCAGCACGUUAUUUCUUUUCGGAGAAAUAAUGGUGGCGAGUGGCGGACGGGUGAGUAACGCGUAGGAAUCUACCUUAAAGUGGGGGAUAACCCGGGGAAACUCGGGCUAAUACCGCAUAAUCUCUACGGAGCAAAGCUGGGGACUAAAGUUUACUUUAGCCUGGCGCUAUAAGAUGAGCCUGCGUCGGAUUAGCUAGUUGGUGGGGUAAUGGCCUACCAAGGUGACGAUCCGUAGCUGGUCUGAGAGGACGAUCAGCCACACUGGGACUGAGACACGGCCCAGACUCCUACGGGAGGCAGCAGUGGGGAAUAUUGGACAAUGGGCGCAAGCCUGAUCCAGCAAUACCGCGUGUGUGAAGAAGGCCUUCGGGUUGU